Cyprinus carpio (common carp) is the source of this 1216-nucleotide long non-coding RNA. NCBI's taxonomy places the organism in Eukaryota, Metazoa, Chordata, Actinopteri, Cypriniformes, Cyprinidae. The record is from Ensembl.
CAAAGAUUCCUUAAUGAGAAUUAAGACAACAUUAAAGAGCCUUGAACUUUACUCCAGCCUCUGACUUUCUCUUGAAGCCUGUUAGCUAUCUGUCGAUUUGUGUAUAGUCACACACACUGAGGACAGAACACUGUGUGUGUGUGUGUGUGUGUGUGUGUGUGUGUGUGUGUGUGUGUGUGUGUGUGUGUGUUUACAGGAAAUAACAGGUGAUGGUCAUCAGCCAACACAUGCUCUGUCUUGAUCUUGCAACUCUGACAUCUUGAGUGUCAUGCAUCAUGUACAUUUCACAUCUUUGGAUAUUUUUUGGUGCUUUGGUGUCUUCAAAUGGAUGCAUAUAUGUCACCGUCAACGCCUCUCUGAAAUCUGAAGUCUAUCUCCCAUGUCACUUUGAUAUAAACCAUUACAAUGGAACAUUGGCAGUGAAUUGGAGACGCCAUUCCACUAUUAAGAGUCUUGUUACGAUCAUGACUGAUGGCAAAAUCAUCUUUGGUAGUCCUAGUGAAGGACGAGUGAAUGUUUUUCCCCUUCUGUCUAAACAUGGAAACUUCUCUAUCCUCAUCCAUGAUCUGCAGUCUUCAGACAUUGGCACCUACAUUUGUGAGCUGAACAGUGAAUGCUGGAGGGUGAAAAUCAUUGAACAGUACAGAAUCAGUGAGUCAAACUCCUGGCUCUACUUUGCAGCUGGAGCUGGAUUGUUUAUUCUCCUUUUUAUUGCAUUUAGCCUGUUAUCAAAAUUCUGUGGAAAGUGUGUAGAUACAUCAUCCAAAUCGAAUCCAGUUAAUGGAGUACGGAGUGAAGGUAGUAAUUCCCCCGAAGAAACACAGAAUACAGAAAGCAGUGAGCAUAGAAACAAAAACAAGAGGGGUGUGAGGAGGGGCCCUACAACUGUUUAUGAAAAUGACAUACAUGCUCCAAAUCAAAGUUCUGCUGUGCAGCCGGGGCAACAUCCUCAAAGAGCCUUUAGAGCCGUUCCCGAGCCAACAAGAAGUCAUCCUUCGGAUGCAAAACCAUACUACGUCAACCAGGCGGAGCUCUUCAUUCCAGUAAAUGCUGGCAAAAAACGGAAAAAACUAAAACAAAAUGUGUAUAAAAAUCCAAUAUAUGGAGACUGAAGUGAGACAGUGACAGCAGAAUAAUACAUGUUUCAAUCAGCAUAACAAAAUUGUUCAUUAUAAACAGUUCAAUAUCUCAAUAAAUUCUGAUGUUUAAUGAUUCA